GGGGGUAAGUACCACCCCCCCUUAAAGAGACACCCCCCCAAGUGCCGGACCACGCUUCUACCGAACCAUGCACACCACUAGAGGCCAGAGGCAGCGGCGGGCCUGGCCCAGCAGUGGAGGCAAGGUCUAGGAGGGAGAAAAGAAGGUGUGGGGGCAGAAAGUGGUGGUGGGAAGGAGAGGCAGCUGGUCCCGGAAGCAGAGACUGGGGCAGAAGGUGGGGGGGAAGAGGUAACCGCUAGCCCCAAAGAGCACACAGAUGCUUUGUGCGGGGUCGGCUAGUGUAAUUAAUUCUCCCAAGACGUGCUGCUGCGGAUGCAACGUGCCACUGGGGAUGUGUAGGGAUGGGUUGCGGAACUCUCGUGAGUGGCCGCACCACUCUCCAGCGCUCCAGGCUUUUGGCGGGCUGGUGGAGCCCAGGUGCAGAGGAGGCGGCCAGCCGGCAUGGGAAGCCCAGCCUUUGUGAGGAGGCGGAUGGCCUGAGGGGGAGUGCUUGUCCGGAGGGCGAAGCCCCACCGGUGUGAGGAUGCCCAGCCGGCUGGCGAAGCUCCACUGGCCUGAGGAGGCGGCCGGUAGGGCAAAGUGGUGGAGAACUAGGGUUAGUUUCUAGGGUUAGUUUCUACAUCUAGUUUCUAGUAAUAUAUAACAUAUGAAAAUAUGUCAGUUUUAAUGCUACACUUGAUCUUAGCCAAAAGGCUGAGAAAUGAUUUUUAAUGCUAUGAAUAUUUAGAUACUGCUUUUCAACAAAAGUUCCCAAAGCGGUUUACAUAGAGGUAGAUAAAUAAAAUGGCUCCCUGUCCCCAAAGAGCUCACAAUCUAAAGAAGAAACAGAAUGUGUAGACCAGCUAGACACCAAUCACAAGUCACUGGAGGGAUGCUGUGCUGGGGAUGGAUAGAGCCAAUUGCUCUUCCCCUGCUAAAUAAAGAGAAUCACCACUUUUAAAAGGUGCCUCUGCUCAGCCGGGAAUUUAUUAUAAAACAUAUAGUAGGAAUUGAUUAUCUAACAUAUAGUAGAUUUCAGUCCUUGCUUAUCAAUGAGGUCAGUAUAUGCCACCACACAUAGCUCACAGAACCACAUGUUAGUUUAUCUAAUGAACUGCAUGGAAAUACUGCACUUGGUUUUUGCUUACUUAAUGAAUGCUGUUGUAUACACAUUGCUGUAUGUGCAAGCUGAGUCUUUAUCUUUAGAAAGCAUCAGAUAGCAUUAGACUCAUUGUCAACAACAGGCCUAGUUUCCAUUGAUGUUCAGUAAAAAGUUUAGUCAGCCAAGUUAAGAAGAAAUAGUGGCUGUCAGCACUAUAAUAUAUUCAGAAAAUGGCAACCUCUUUUGUUGAUCCACUCUGACUCUCUGUACUUGAGCAUUACUCGGCUGACUGGGGAAUUAAUCUUCCAGUUUGGUGUUCCCAUUUGCAAAAACAUAAUGUCUGACCUUAAAAAACAAACAAACAAACAAACAAACCCCAAACCCAAGUGUUUUGCAAUAACACUAGGGAUGUGCUCGGAACCGGUCCAUGCACAUCCCUAAAUAACAACUCAAACAGCUUCUAUUUGAAAUGAAGACAUUGGCUACAGCUCUGCACAGAGAUCGGCACACCUAAGACCACUGAAAUCAAGAAAAGAAAUAACACAAGGAACACCAAGAUGUUCACACAAGGAACACCAAGAUGGAAACCCAAGUCGUGCACCCAUUAAAGUCGUCUAAAGUCGUGCACCCAUUAAAUAAAUCAGGAUAAUCUUCAAGCCCAGUAAUGAAAGUCAAGGAGCACAGUGAAAAACAUGGGACUACAACUAAAUGUAAAGAAGACUAAACUAAUGACAACGGGUACACCAACUAGUAACGUGCACGGACCGAUUCGCAGGCCAUUCUAAAGGCCUGCGAACAGGUUUGCGGGGUGGUGGUGGUUGUGGUUUUGGUUCACAGCUGGGGGUGGCCCUUUAAGGGCGGGGGAGGGUGCACUUACCCCUCCCGCUGCUUUUCACCUGCUGGCACUCCUUUUUUGAAAACAAUUUGGGGCGGCAACAAAACCCCGUUUUCUCAACAAAAGGCUUCAGAACGUGUGACUGCCCAUGCAAAUGGCGCGUGCGCAUGUCACGUGUGUGCAUUGCAUGUGUCCGUACAUCAGACGUGCACGCCGUACACCUGUGAUGCGUGCGUGCUAUGUGCACGCACAAUCACAUGUUCUGAAGCAUUUUGCUGAGAAACGGGAAGGGGUGGCAGGGAGGUAUGCUGCCGCCCCAAAUGCUUUUCAAAAAAAGA
This is a long non-coding RNA of Hemicordylus capensis (graceful crag lizard), 2254 nucleotides long. RefSeq lists it as uncharacterized. The transcript has 3 exons. Lineage: Eukaryota; Metazoa; Chordata; Lepidosauria; Squamata; Cordylidae. The record is from RefSeq and is a predicted model, not a curated record.